This 83-nucleotide transfer RNA is filed under the name Candidatus Gottesmanbacteria bacterium RIFCSPHIGHO2_01_FULL_42_27. RNAcentral describes it as "tRNA-Tyr". It matches the Rfam family "tRNA". Rfam says of the family: Transfer RNA (tRNA) molecules are approximately 80 nucleotides in length. Their secondary structure includes four short double-helical elements and three loops (D, anti-codon, and T loops). The record is from RNAcentral. RNAcentral also lists the same sequence under 4 other names. Lineage: Bacteria; Candidatus Gottesmaniibacteriota.
GCUGAGGUACCGAAGUGGCCAAACGGGGCAGUCUGUAAAACUGCUGGCUCACGCCUUCCCAGGUUCGAAUCCUGGCCUCAGCA